Molecule: long non-coding RNA, 3448 nt
Filed under: Phasianus colchicus (ring-necked pheasant)
Lineage: Eukaryota; Metazoa; Chordata; Aves; Galliformes; Phasianidae
Description: lncRNA (ENSPCLG00000019784.1)
Source: RNAcentral
AGGGGGCUUUGGCCCACCUUGGACUGCCCCGUGGUUUUGUCCUUGGCCAGGUAGAUGCGGGAGAUGGAGCCGAAGGGCCGGAACAGCUCCUGCAGGUCGGUCUCACGGGUGUCCUCAGACAGGUUGGUGACACGGAUGGUGGCAUUGUCAUCAGCUGGGGGGGCACGGGGUCAUCGUCACCGCACCAUCGUCAUUGUCACAACACCGUCAGCAUCAUCACAACACCAUCGUCAUCAUCACAGCACCAUCGUCAUCGUCACAACACCAUCAGCAUCAUCACAGCACCAUCAGCAUCAUCAUCAUCAUCACAACACCGUCAUCGUCACAGCACCACCGUCAUCAUCACAGCACCAUCGUCAUCGUCACAGCACCAUCGUCAUCGUCACAACACCGUCAGCAUCAUCACAACACCAUCGUCAUCAUCACAACACCACUGUCACCAUCCCAACACCACCGUCAUCAUCACGACACCACCGUCAUCAUCCCGACACCACCAUCAUCAUCGCAACACCGUCAGAACCAUCGCAACACCAUCAGCACCAUCACAACACCGUCAGCACCAUCACAACACCGUCAGCACCAUCACAAUACCGUCAGCAUCGUCACAACACCAUCAGCAUCAUCACAGCACCAUCGUCAUCAUCACAACACCACCGUCAUCAUCCCGACACCACCAUCAUCAUCGCAACACCGUCAUCAUCGUCACAACACCGUCAUCAUCGUCACAACACCGUCAGCAUCAUCACAACACCAUCGUCAUCAUCACAACACCACUGUCACCAUCCCAACACCACCGUCAUCAUCAUGACACCAUCGUCAUCAUCACAACACCGCCAUCAUUAUCACAACACCACCGUCAGCACCAUCACAACACCGUCAGCAUCGUCACAGCACCACCAUCAUCAUCACAGCACCAUUGUCAUCAUCACAACACCAUCAGCAUCAUCACAACACCAUCGUCACCAUCACAGCACCACUGUCACCAUCACAACACCACUGUCACCAUCCCAACACCACCGUCAUCAUCACGACACCAUCGUCAUCAUCACAACACCGCCAUCAUUAUCACAACACCGUCAGCACCAUCACAACACCGUCAGCAUCGUCACAGCACCACCAUCAUCAUCACAGCACCAUUGUCAUCAUCACAACACCAUCAGCAUCAUCACAACACCAUCGUCACCAUCACAGCACCACUGUCACCAUCACAACACCAUCGUCAUCAUCACAACACCACUGUCACCAUCACAACACCAUCGUCAUCACCACAACACCAUCGUCAUCAUCACCACACCAUCAGCAUCAUCCCAACACUACCAUCAUCAUCACAGCACCAUCAACAUCAUCAUCAUCAUCACAACACCAUCAUCAUCACAGCACCAUCGUCAUCGCAACACCAUCAUCGUCAGCACCAUCAUCAUCAUCAUCACAACACCACCGUCAUCACAACACCAUCAUUGUCAUCACAACAGCACCAUUAUCAUCACAACACCAUCAUCAUCGUCAUCAUCAUCACAACACCAUAACACCAUUAACAUCAUUGUCACCAUCAUCACCACCAUCAUCACCACCAUCAGCAUCAUAAGACCAUUAUACCACCAUCACCAUCAGCACGAUAACACCAUCACCAUGACCAACACCACCACCACCAGCAUCACCAUCACAACACCACCAUCACCAUCAUCACCAUCACAACACCACCAUCAUCAUCGUAACACCACCAUAACACCAUAACACCAUCACCACGACCACCCAUGAUCACCACCACCAUCAUCACCAUGACACCACCACCAUCAUCACCAUCACAACACCACCAUCACCAUCAUCACCAUCACAACACCAUCAUCAUCAUCAUCAUCAUCAUCAUCAUCACCAUCACAACACCAUCAUCAUCAUCAUCAUCAUCAUCACCAUCACAACACCAUCAUCAUCAUCAUCACCAUCACAACACUAUCAUCAUCAUCAUCAUCAUAACAUCACCACAACACCAUCACCACCACCACCACCACCACCAUCACACCAUCAGCACCAUAACACCAUCAAGACCACCACCAUCAUCACCUUCACAACACCAUCAUCACCAUCACAACACCACCGUAACACCAUCACCACCAUCGCAACACCAUCAUCAUCAUUGUAACACCACCAUAACACCAUAACACCAUCACCUUGACCACCACCACCACCACCAUCACCACCAAACAACCACCAUCAUCACCAUCACAACACCACCAUCACCAUCAUCACCAUCACCAUCACAACAACACCAUCACCAUCAUCACCAUUGCAACACCAUCAUCAUCAUAACAUCACCACAACACCAUCACCACCAUCACAACACCAUCGCCACCAUCACACCGUCACAACACCGUCAACAUCACCAUAACACCCACAGAGAGGCUCAGGUUGGGAAUGGACCUCCAAGAUGGCCGCCCCAAUGGACACAAAGACCCCAAAAGGACCCAAAGGUCAAACCCUAAUGGUCCCAUGGGGUCAUCUGUGACCCCCAAAGACCCCAAAAGGACCCAUGGGUUGGAUCCAGGUGAUCCCAUGGGGUGAUCUGUGGACCCCAAGGAUCUCAAGGGACACAAAGGCCCCAAGAGAACCCAUAGGUUGGAUCCAGGUGAUCCCAUGGGGUCACCUGUGGACCCCAAGGAUCCCAAGGGACCCAAAGACCCCAGAAGGACCCAUAGGUUGGAUCCAGGUGGUCCCAUGGGGUGAUCUGUGCCCCCCAAGGAUCCCAAGGGACACAAAGACCCCAAAGGACCCAUAGGUUGGAUCCAGGUGGUCCCACGGGGUCACCUGUGCCCCACAAGGAUCCCAAGGGACACAAAGACCCCAAAAGGACACAUAGGUCGGAUCCAAGUGAUCCUUUGGGGUUAUGUGUGCCCCCCAAGGACCCCACAAAGACCCCAAAGGACCCCCAGGUGGGACCCCGCUGCGCCGUACCCCGCCGGUUGGGCUGCAUGGACUCCCCACGCCGGCUGGCCCCGUCCCGCAGGCUGGGCGGGACGUAUUUCCCUGUCUUGCUCUGCUGUGCCUGGACCGGUUCCGGUUCUGUGGGGGGAAGAGCGGGAUUAAUGGGGGGGGGAUCACAGCCUGACUGGGGGGGGGACAGCACUGCCAUGGGGACACCCUGACAUGGGGACAGCUCAACAAUGGGACAGCUCAACAAUGGGACAGCUCGACGAGGGGACAGCCCAACAUGGGGACAUCACACCCGAGGGACACCCCAAGGAAGGGACACCCCAAGGAAGGGACACUCUGACAAGAGAACACCCCAACUGAAGGACACCCCGACCAGGGGACACCCCACCCAGGGGACACCCCACCCAGGGACACCCCAAUGAAGGGACACCCCUAUGAAGAGACACUCUGACAAGAGAAAACCCCAACUGAGGGACACCCUGACCAGGGGACACCCCAAUAAAGGGACACUCUGAGAACA